Molecule: ribosomal RNA, 903 nt
Filed under: Scedosporium apiospermum
Lineage: Eukaryota; Fungi; Ascomycota; Sordariomycetes; Microascales; Microascaceae
Description: LSU rRNA
Rfam family: Eukaryotic large subunit ribosomal RNA
Source: RNAcentral
UGCAUAUCAAUAAGCGGAGGAAAAGAAACCAACAGGGAUUGCCUCAGUAACGGCGAGUGAAGCGGCAACAGCUCAAAUUUGAAAUCUGGCGGCCUCUGGGCCGUCCGAGUUGUAAUUUGAAGAGGAUGCUUUUGGCGAGGCGCCUUCCGAGUGCCCUGGAACGGGACGCCACAGAGGGUGAGAGCCCCGUAUGGUUGGACGCCGAGCCUCUGUAAAGCUCCUUCGACGAGUCGAGUAGUUUGGGAAUGCUGCUCAAAAUGGGAGGUAAACCCCUUCUAAAGCUAAAUACUGGCCAGAGACCGAUAGCGCACAAGUAGAGUGAUCGAAAGAUGAAAAGCACUUUGAAAAGAGAGUUAAAUAGCACGUGAAAUUGUUGAAAGGGAAGCGCUUGCGACCAGACUUGUGCCCGUCGAAUCAGCCGCCGCUCGCCGGCGGCGCACUUCGGCGGGCUCAGGCCAGCAUCAGUUCGCUGCAGGGGGAGAAAGGCGGCGGGAAUGUGGCUCUUCGGAGUGUUAUAGCCCGCCGCGCAAUACCCCUCGGCGGACUGAGGACCGCGCAUCUGCAAGGAUGCUGGCGUAAUGGUCGUCAGCGACCCGUCUUGAAACACGGACCAAGGAGUCGUCCUAAUAUGCGAGUGUUCGGGUGUAAAACCCCUGCGCGUAAUGAAAGUGAACGGAGGUGAGAGCUUCGGCGCAUCAUCGACCGAUCCUGAUGUUCUCGGAUGGAUUUGAGUAAGAGCAUAUUGGGCCGGACCCGAAAGAAGGUGAACUAUGCCUGUAUAGGGUAAAGCCAGAGGAAACUCUGGUGGAGGCUCGCAGCGGUUCUGACGUGCAAAUCGAUCGUCAAAUAUGGGCAUGGGGGCGAAAGACUAAUCGAACCUUCUAGUAGCUGGUUUCCGCCGAU